This 253-nucleotide ribosomal RNA is filed under the name uncultured bacterium. RNAcentral's name for it is "partial 16S ribosomal RNA". It matches the Rfam family "Bacterial small subunit ribosomal RNA", at positions 524 to 776 of the family's 1533-position model. The record is from RNAcentral.
UACGUAGGUGGCAAGCGUUGUCCGGAUUUGUUGGGUUUAAAGGGUGCGUAGGCGGCUUUGUAAGUCAGUGGUGAAAUAUGGCAGCUCAACUGUCAGGGUGCCAUUGAUACUGCGGAGCUUGAGUACAGAUGAGGUAGGCGGAAUUGACAGUGUAGCGGUGAAAUGCUUAGAUAUCGUCAAGAACACCGAUAGCGAAGGCAGCUUACUAGGCUGUAACUGACGCUGAGGCACGAAAGUGUGGGGAUCAAACAGG